This is a long non-coding RNA of Hibiscus syriacus, 827 nucleotides long. RefSeq lists it as uncharacterized. The transcript has 6 exons. The record is from RefSeq and is a predicted model, not a curated record. Lineage: Eukaryota; Viridiplantae; Streptophyta; Magnoliopsida; Malvales; Malvaceae.
UCUCCGUCUUUAAUUUUCGCUUUAACAACCCCCAUGAUUCCCUCCAUGGAUCUUCAUCUUCUCCGCUUUUUUCCAGGCUUCUCAUCCGUCAGAUUCUUCCCUCGGUACCUCUCCGAAGUAGACUCUUCAUAGUAAGGUCGAAUCUUCCUUUUCCAAUUGAGAAAGCCAAGUACCACAGAGAACUUGAAGCCGCGGUGGAGGUCACGGAGAGAGCUUGUCGUCUUUGUGUCGGCGAAAAUUAUCUUGAAAGCUUGAAUCUAACCUCUGUUUUUUAGCCAUUCGCUUGGUGCAAAAGUCUCUGUUCUCUGAUGAAGGGCAUAACGUCGAAAACAAAGACCAAACUCCAGUCACAGUGGCAGAUUUUGGUGUCCUGGCUCUUGUUAGUUUAGGACUCUGGAUUUCUACGUUCAAACUUCAAACAAUCUGGUGGAUCUUGUAGUAAGUGCAGUAUCUGAUAAAACGAGAUUUGAUGAGGAAUCAUUAUCACUUGAUGGUGUGCUGGAAGCAAUUGACAGAGGGGGCAGGAAUGCUUUUGCUAUGGGAACAAAACCAGCCACAUAUUGGAUUCUGGAUCCAAUUGAUGGCACCCGAGGGUUUGUAAAAGGAAGUCAGGCCUUAAUUAUAUGUGGUAGGUUUAUCUCUAGUAGUUGAGGGAGAGAUUGUGUUGGGUGUCAUGGGCUGCCCUAACUGGGUUGUACAUAUUUCUUACAAGUCUACCAAUGAUGCCCAAGGUUAUGAAAAUAGUUCUACUGGAUUGGGUAUCAUUAUGGUUGCUCAUGUUGGCUGUGGAACAUGGAUAAAGAGGCGAAAGUGUAUGCUUGAUAGCU